This 301-nucleotide ribosomal RNA is filed under the name uncultured bacterium. Its description in RNAcentral is "partial 16S ribosomal RNA". It matches the Rfam family "Bacterial small subunit ribosomal RNA", at positions 509 to 808 of the family's 1533-position model. The record is from RNAcentral.
CAGCAGCCACGGAAUACGGAGGGUGCGAGCGUUAAUCGGAAUUACUGGGCGUAAAGCGUACGCAGGCGGUUUGUUAAGUCAGAUGUGAAAUCCCCGAGCUUAACUCGGGAACUGCAUUUGAAACUGGCAGGCUAGAGUCUCGUAGAGGGGGGUAGAAUUCCAGGUGUAGCGGUGAAAUGCGUAGAGAUCUGGAGGAAUACCGGUGGCGAAGGCGGCCCCCUGGACGAAGACUGACGCUCAGGUACGAAAGCGUGGGGAGCAAACAGGAUUAGAGACCCGCGUAGUCCCUGUCUCUUAUACA